RNAcentral lists this transfer RNA (68 nucleotides) under marine eukaryotic metagenome. It matches the Rfam family "tRNA". Rfam says of the family: Transfer RNA (tRNA) molecules are approximately 80 nucleotides in length. Their secondary structure includes four short double-helical elements and three loops (D, anti-codon, and T loops). The record is from RNAcentral.
CGGUGUAGCUCAGUUGGUAGAGCAACUCUCUUGUAAAGAGUAGGUCGUCGGUUCAAGUCCGACCACCG